GUAGGUGGCAAGCGUUGUCCGGAUUUACUGGGCGUAAAGGGCGUGCAGGCGGUUUGUUUAGUCUAGGGUGAAAGCUCCCGGCUUAACUGGGAGAGGUCCUUGGAUACUGGCAAACUUGAGGGAGGCAGAGGAAAGUGGAAUUCCCGGUGUAGUGGUGAUAUGCGUAGAUAUCGGGAGGAACACCAGUGGCGAAGGCGGCUUUCUGGGCCUUACCUGACGCUGAGACGCGAAAGCGUGGGGAGCGAACCGGAUUAGAUACCCGGGUAGUCCACGCCGUAAACUAUGGACACUAGGUGUGGGGGGUAUCGACCCCCUCCGUGCCGCAGCUAACGCAAUAAGUGUCCCGCCUGGGGAGUACGGCCGCAAGGCUAAA
RNAcentral lists this ribosomal RNA (373 nucleotides) under uncultured bacterium. RNAcentral's name for it is "bacterial SSU rRNA". It matches the Rfam family "Bacterial small subunit ribosomal RNA", at positions 527 to 898 of the family's 1533-position model. The record is from RNAcentral.